AGCCCGMGUUGGAUUAGCUAGKUGGUGAGGUAARGGCUCACCAAGGWGAYGAUCCAUAGMUGGUCUGAGAGGAUGAUCAGCCACACUGGGASUGAGACACGGCCCAGACUCYUACGGGAGGCAGCAGUGGGGAAUAUGGACAAUGGGCGCAAGCCUGAUCCAGCCAUGCCGCGUGUGUGACGAAGGCCUUAGGGUUGUAAAGCACUUUCACCGAUGAAGAUAAUGACGGU
RNAcentral lists this ribosomal RNA (230 nucleotides) under uncultured Pseudomonadota bacterium. RNAcentral describes it as "uncultured proteobacterium partial 16S ribosomal RNA". The record is from RNAcentral. Lineage: Bacteria; Pseudomonadati; Pseudomonadota.